Long non-coding RNA from Equus caballus (horse), 4220 nucleotides. Lineage: Eukaryota; Metazoa; Chordata; Mammalia; Perissodactyla; Equidae. The record is from Ensembl.
CACCACCUCCGUGUGGCUCCGACACUGAACAUACGGAGAAAGACAAAUCCGUAGGCAGUGAGUGUGUCGUCUUUAGUGAUGAGGACAGCGUGGACGCGGGAGCUCCACUGCACAGCCAGAAGCAAAGCUCUGUCAUGCCAGUUCUCAAAGCUGGUGACCAUGAAGUAGACAACUGGCCCCUUCCUACCAAUUGGUGGAAAUUUGGCACUGGCCGUGAACCUCGCUUGUCUGCCCUGGGCGCAGGUGUAAGUCCAGUGCGCUUUUUGCACACAGGCACUGGAUGGAAAAGGCACAUUUGAGGUAGAACAAAGGUGCAGUAAGAAAGCUGCCUUUCUGCUGUCACCAUGUCUUCCCUUCCAGGCUGCUCCUUUCAUUACUUUUUGGAGAAAUGAAGUAUUGAAGAAACCUAUUGAGUGCUUCUAAUUUCACUGCAAGAUAUCCACCCUCAUAUCGGGAGGUCAGUCCAGCUCAUUCUCAGGAAGACAGCUGUCAUUUUCUCAUUAUGCUUUGGCCUGUGAACCAGAAAGGCAUUAAAUAACUGUGAUCACCAGUUUUGCCAAAGACAGGAUGGGACGCCGUGGGGCUCAUGCAAGCUGUUCCGCGGAACCUUCCUGCUCAUCAUCCUCCAUCACCAGCAAAAGCGGCCAUUCCAGAAUUUCACCGCUUCCUUCUUCCACAGGGUCAUCACCUCAUUCAUCUCCAGGAAUCCAGAGUUGGUACAUCAGGGUAGUAUGGCUUAGAAGACACUCAAGCUAACAGGAUAAGAAGUCCUCCAUCUCCCUCCCGGUAGCAUUACGAUCCUCAUUCAUGUCAAGUUUCUGUAACCCCUAAAUCUCCAAGGCCAACUAGCCUGCCUCCUCCUACCUGAUGAGCCAUCUAAUUCAAGAGCUAUGCCAUCUGCUAUUUGACAGCCAAUGGUUAGAAAUAGAUUUAGUGGUGACAGUGCAUAUCCUUUGGUAACGUCCCCAAAAGGAUGCCCUCAUAGCGACAGAUAUGCCAGAAACAGUCACGUUCAGAGAGCCUUGUGAAAAUUAAUACAAAGAAAACUCCUUUAAAAGGGAGUUAGAAGACAAGAGAGAACUCUCAUGCACGAGACACUCAAAGCACACUACAGACCAACAGGAAGACACAUACGUUGCGUCUCAGACAGGAAGUGAUACUAAAUACGCUGGCGGAAGGAGGAAAUGCCUCCUUGGCCAGCAACAGCCCAGCCAGUGAGAAGCCACUGGCUUUGGACUCCCAGUCUCCUCCAAUGGACACUUCCUUUACGACAGCCCCUCCCAACUUCAUAAAAGAACUUUUCUCCUUUGUUUUCCCCGGAAUUGCUGGGGUUUGCCGUGGACCCCAGGUCCCAAAUUACAGUUUUUGCUGUUCCCAAAUUAACCCGUUUGCUUAUAAAAUAACUGGUUGUUUCAGGUGAACAGCGUUAAUGGUAAGCAGUUCAACAAUGCCGCUCUAGAAAAGCUUAGAACAGCAGCAAGAGUCUCCACUCUUGUCCAGACUCUUCCCUUGGAGACCUCGCCUUCAAGCAAAGGUGCAAGACCAUAGUCAGGAGUCGAGAGUUUCUCACGUUUGGAGUAGUGGCCUCAAAAAGACAAGUCCAAGUCAUAACCCCCAGAACACGGCGAAGGUGACGUGUACACCAGCCAGUGGCCGUGAGGCCUACAGUUUCAGACCGUGGUUUAUUUAAAAGGGAAGUUUCUAUUCCAUCACGAAGUUCUUGCUCAUCACAGGUCUGAAUUUACACCAGGAAAGUUGAGGCAAACCAAGGACAGUCACUUCAUGAACCUUCACCAUCAGGCCCAUCUAUGACACAGAUGACCCGGUGGCAAUGACAAGGUGUCCUCUAACCAACAGGAGGGAACCUCCAGCUCAGGAUGGAGCUGACACCAGCAAGGGGCCUGCCCAACAUGGCUGGGUGGCCCACACCAAGUCCACACACUCGUGGUAGAUUCUGGAGUCAAGGUAAGGAAGAAAGACUUCACCAGGGAACAAUGGCGCCCACAGUGAUGGCGAAGGAAACUCAGACUGAAGUCCUGCACUCCCUCCAAGACAGACUUCCUUAUUCACUCCCCCAGUUGCCAGUCACUCUCACCUGAGGACCAUUCAGAAUUUAUCAGAGAAGGAAACUGAUGGGGACCUCUGGGAGACUGGGCAGGUUAGCCCAUUGGCUUUCUUCCCUCUGGGCUGUGGGGUCUGAGGUUCAGUUUCCAAUGUUGGUUGUCUCAAGUAGAAGCCAAUUCUGCCCCUCCGAGCCCCAGCCUCUUGUGCCCAGAUGCCAUGUGCGGUUCCUUGCCAACCUCUAUAUUCAAGACACGGCUUCGAGGCUCUCUAAACAAGAUGGUCAGGAGUUAAGCAGAGAGAACAUGAAUGAAGGGAGCUAAAGAGGAAAAAGCAAGAAAUUUUAUUUGAGGUGUAAGAAGUCACUAGAUCACAAAUCAUGAUUCCCGCUAAUCUAGUGCAGCUUUGAUUUGCCCGAGAAAGCUCAUUGUUGGCCCUUCCAGUGAGGUCUCCCAGGCUUCUCCAUGGAGACUUUUUUUCCUCUCAGAGUGAGAAGCCAGAAAAGCAUACAAUAGUAGCAGCAUAAACAACUUUUCCAAGAUCAAACCUAGAUUAUAGAUGUCGUUCCUUCCACCUGAAAUCAACUCUUGUCAAUAAGAGGUCCCUCUCAAAUAUUGCAUCUCCAAGAGUCCCCUCCCCAGGGACCAAAAGAAAAAAAAGCCACCUGGCUAGCCAAAAGCAACUGAGUUUUUUAUGGAAUAAAAUUUAAAAACUCGUAUGUGCCACAACUCUCAGAACCUGUACUUCUGGAGGUCAACUCCAAACGCAAAAGAUGACACAAAGCUGGUGACCUUGGAGGUCUGACCAGACUCACAGAAAAGGGAGCCAGAGUUCUUUCAAUGCGGUCAGAAAGCUCUGCAUUUGUAGACUGGAGAUGUUCCCAAGGCUUUCUUCCCUCCCAAACUUAGAGCUAUCCCUCUACAUGGAAUUCCUGAUGAGCCCAUUGGCCUCCUGUUUGAUUGCUUGUCUGAACUGACAUUCUUUUGGUUGAGUGCACCUGGGGUUUGAGCACCCAAGAAACUGGGGUUUCCCAGGAUGAGCAUUAAGGGCAGUGAAGGAGGGGGCAGUUCCAGCCCAGGGAGAACAGCAGUACCAAUUUCACCGAAGUAAAGCACCAGAGUUGUUCUCAGCUCUAUCCCAAGUACCCCCAAGGAGCGGGUUCUCUGUCUUCAGGAAAAAGGCCCAAUGGCCCAGGGAAACCAGCAGACCCCAAAACUCUUCUCACCUAAAUGCCUAACAAGCAUUUGUCUGUAACAUCUCCUUGGGGGCAGAGGCAGAUAGAGAUCUGAUUUCUGGCCUGAUGCUGAUCAACUCAUCCAGACCAAUGAGGUUUUAAGACUAGGAAGUGGGGAAUCAUGAGGGAAGAAGAACUGACUCAGUUAUGCCACCCGCUGGUUCUGAAUCUAAGCCAGAGCUCACAUGGCCUUGUACUCAAGGAGAACCAGAACAUGUUCAGGGGGAAGUUCUAAGACACUACUGAGAAGUCGAGUUGGGUGGCUGAGAUGUGUUUUUGCCAAUUCAAAGCCAGGUCCUGCCUGAACGAGUGCCAGCUUAGAGCGCCACAUCAAAGGUCCGAUUGCCUACUUUUCCCAAUGACUUUUCCAGGUCUGGACCCACCCAGUAGCCACCAGAGGGCUUGACUGGGAUUCGAAAGUCAGGGCCUUGGUGACCAUCCCUUUAGGAUGGACGCUCAUUGUCACUCUGGUGAGGUCACCACCUCACCUGAUCAUAUAGGGCAAUGCUUGGGCUGGAACAAAAGGCCAGACAAAGCUGACAGAGCCUGAUUAAGGCUGGCCAAAUCCCCCUGUCAUCCAAGAAGACGGCAGGAGAAUAACCAUUUUACUCGAUGCCUUCAUCUUGAUAUAAUCCCCAAGAACACAUUAGCGUCUGACCAGGAACUCAGUUUACAGUGGGAAAUCAUGCAAAGCAAUCAUGGCUCACUGGCUGUUGGCACCAAAGCUCUCUCAGGAAGUGAGAGAAACUAUCGAUUCUGGAGAGACCUGGCAGAAUGAGCUUUCACUGCUUGUUAAGAAUUUGUAUUUAAGUGACUAGAUAAUUCUAUACUUACUGCAAUUCUGUGUAAUUUUGUUUAUUGAAAAGGUAUGUGGCCCAGAGCAUUGAACCCAUCCGGCACCCAUGUUCAUUUCCAAGUAUUCCCC